UGCAUCUCCUCAAGGACAUUCAUAAAAUUGUAACGAUUCAGAAAAGAUUAACAUGACCCUUGUAGAAGGAUAAUAUGCAUAAAUUGAAAAAUAAUUCGAGUGUUU
This is a small nuclear RNA of Prosopis cineraria, 105 nucleotides long. The record is from RefSeq and is a predicted model, not a curated record. NCBI's taxonomy places the organism in Eukaryota, Viridiplantae, Streptophyta, Magnoliopsida, Fabales, Fabaceae.